AUGCCUCGGGGCGCCGGCUUCUCCGGGUCCAAGCCCGUUGCCAAGUCCAAGCGGGCCACCGGCGCCGCCCUCUGCGUCCUCUCAUGGAUAAUGGCGUUGAUCGCGGAGCGGUUCUUCUUGCUAGGUGCGGCGAGGAACAUCCCCAUGACGCGCGAAACUAGCCAGGGCCGGGGCUGUCACCCCGUCAAGGACGGCGUCUUCAUGAUGGGGGCCGUUCUUAGCAUCGUCGCCACCGUGCUCGGGAUCAUAUCUUACAUCAUGCUUUACGCGGCGGCGGCAGGUGCUAAUACUACUACUAGUACAAUGAGGGCCGUGGCGGGCCCGUCGCCGGCAGGCGAGAUCAACCAUGACGGGAUCGCGAUCGGCCACCCUGUUGCCGCUCAACAACACGCACAAGCUGUGUAG
RNAcentral lists this ribosomal RNA (405 nucleotides) under Triticum aestivum (bread wheat). RNAcentral's name for it is "partial small subunit ribosomal RNA". Lineage: Eukaryota; Viridiplantae; Streptophyta; Magnoliopsida; Poales; Poaceae. The record is from RNAcentral.